GAUGAAAGCUAGCUACAGGCUUAAAACAUGCCAGUCGAGGGACCGGCGCACGGGUGAGUAACACGUAUCCAACCUGCCCUUUACUCGGGGAUAGCCUUUCGAAAGAAAAAUUCAUACCCGAUAUAAAGGAUGGGGAUUCUUUCCAUUAGGUUGUUGUGGAGGUAACGGCUCACCAAGCCUUCGAUGGAUCGGGGUUCGGAGAGGAAGGUCCCCCACAGUGGAACUGAGACACGGUCCAAACUCCUACGGGAGGCAGCAGUGAGGAAUAUUGGUCAAUGGGCGCUAGCCUGAACCAGCCAAGUAGCGUGAAGGAUGAAGGCUUAUGGGUCGUAAACUUCUUUUAUAUAAGAAUAUGUAUUAUAUGAAUAAGGAUCGGCUAACUCCGUGCCAGCAGCCGCGGUAAUUC
This 406-nucleotide ribosomal RNA is filed under the name uncultured bacterium. RNAcentral describes it as "partial 16S ribosomal RNA". It matches the Rfam family "Bacterial small subunit ribosomal RNA", at positions 28 to 526 of the family's 1533-position model. The record is from RNAcentral.